RNAcentral lists this ribosomal RNA (468 nucleotides) under uncultured bacterium. RNAcentral describes it as "partial 16S ribosomal RNA". It matches the Rfam family "Bacterial small subunit ribosomal RNA", at positions 28 to 507 of the family's 1533-position model. The record is from RNAcentral.
GACGAACGCUGGCGGCGUGCUUAACACAUGCAAGUCGAACGGAAAGGCCCUGCUUUUGUGGGGUGCUCGAGUGGCGAACGGGUGAGUAACACGUGAGUAACCUGCCCUUGACUUUGGGAUAACUUCAGGAAACUGGGGCUAAUACCGGAUAGGAGCUCCUGCUGCAUGGUGGGGGUUGGACAGUUUCGGCGGGUGGGGAUGGACUCGCGGCUUAUCAGCUUGUUGGUGGGGUAGUGGCUUACCAAGGCUUUGACGGGUAGCCGGCCUGAGAGGGUGACCGGCGACAUUGGGACUGAGAUACGGCCCAGACUCCUACGGGAGGCAGCAGUGGGGAAUAUUGCACAAUGGGCGGAAGCCUGAUGAAGCAACGCCGCGUGCGGGAUGACGGCCUUCGGGGUGUAAACCGCUGUCGCCUGUGACGAAGCGUGAGUGACGGUAAUGGGUAAAGAAGCACCGGCUAACUACGUG